AGUGAACGCUGGCGGUAGGCCUAACACAUGCAAGUCGAACGGCAGCACAGUAAGAGCUUGCUCUUACGGGUGGCGAGUGGCGGACGGGUGAGGAAUACAUCGGAAUCUACUUUUUCGUGGGGGAUAACGUAGGGAAACUUACGCUAAUACCGCAUACGACCUACGGGUGAGAGCAGGGGAUCUUCGGACCUUGCGCGAUUGAAUGAGCCGAUGUCGGAUUAGCUAGUUGGCGGGGUAAAGGCCCACCAAGGCGACGAUCCGAAGCUGGUCUGAGAGGAUGAUCAGCCACACUGGAACUGAGACACGGUCCAGACUCCUACGGGAGGCAGCAGUGGGGAAUAUUGGACAAUGGGCGCAAGCCUGAUCCAGCCAUACCGCGUGGGUGAAGAAGGCCUUCGGGUUGUAAAGCCCUUUUGUUGGGAAAGAAAAGCAGCAGGUUAAUACCCCGCUGUUCUGACGGUACCCAAAGAAUAAGCACCGGCUAACUUCGUG
This 492-nucleotide ribosomal RNA is filed under the name uncultured bacterium. RNAcentral describes it as "partial 16S ribosomal RNA". It matches the Rfam family "Bacterial small subunit ribosomal RNA", at positions 29 to 507 of the family's 1533-position model. The record is from RNAcentral.